This 1237-nucleotide ribosomal RNA is filed under the name Triticum aestivum (bread wheat). RNAcentral describes it as "partial small subunit ribosomal RNA". The record is from RNAcentral. Lineage: Eukaryota; Viridiplantae; Streptophyta; Magnoliopsida; Poales; Poaceae.
CUCUGUUUCAAAAUAUAAGAUGUUUCGGUAGGCUAAACUACAUAUCUUGAAUGCAGUUUACCAGACCGAAGCUAGCAAAUUAUGGGCAUGUACCUAUUCGUUUUAAAAACCUUUCAAUUAUGCACAGACAACUAGAAAAUUAUGAGCAAUCUAUGUAUUUAUUUACCGAACCUUGCAACUGUGAAUGGACUGAUCAAUUGGAAGAUAGUUUUGUUGGACCAACCAUAUGAUUGCUCACUAAGCAGCAUUUCAGCAAGUAGAUAAUAGUAAUUCAGGUAAAGAUUAUUUUUGCUAUGCAAAAUAUAAAAUGGACAAGUCACUUUCUGAAGUAGUUUGGGGAAGUCCCUUGGGAAAUAGUACUUGCUUACUCGAUUUUAUUCGUAGUUCGAACAUGGACCUUAGAAGGGUGAUUUUGCUAGAUUGGAGGUUAAUUUUUUUUUGCAAAUAAGUUAUAUAUUCCUUGAACAAAAAUCUACCUAAUUUUAUGUUGGAUACCUUCAUAUAUCUUCAUAUAUUUGGCUAGAUUGCUUUUUCAUGCCAGAUUCAGAUUCAACCAAGUGACGAUUCCAACUUGGUCACAGAAUAAGAAAAUGCCUUGCGGUCCUCUUCUACCACAAGCACAUCACCUCUUAGGCACUUCGUUGUUUCCCUGGUAUAACAACACUGUUCAAACCAUUUCCUUGGAGACAAUACAUUUUAAUUUGUCUUACAAUGCCUACAGUUUUCUUCAUACAACAAUUCCUUCACCUGCCAUUGAACUCCACCAAUGCUGGAUCUACAACAAAUAGACAAGGAACCCAGAGGUUGACUCCCAAUCUCUCUUUUUAUGGAAUUAUGCCGCAUACUAUGUACUAUGUAUCAUGAUUGCAAUAUACAGGAAUCAAGGUGAUACUAAGGAGAUUUUCACUUCAUAUGAUGUUUUGCUGAUAUAAACCAGCAAGAAGAUCUUCUUAGAGGUAUGUACAACUUUGUUUUCAACUUCAUUGAAGUCAGCUUUAUUUAUACAUGGAACACAUUUGAAGGUAAACCUUUUCAAAAGCCUCAAUCGACCUAUUUUAUAUUGUAUAGUUUGACAUCCCUUGCACAUGAAUGACUAUUCAUUGAUAGUGCCUGCAAAGAUGUGACUGUAGUUGUUUCUUUGUCUGCACGAUCAUUCUUAAAUUUGUGACAUAUAGAUUGGCUCUCAUGCAUAUCAUAUAUCUAAGCAAAUAAAUUGAUAUUACAUUGAAGAAAGGGA